AGAGGUUUAAUGAUCUGCCCAGCAAGUGUCUGACGCUACACUUAAACUGCACUAUCUAGAUGACUAAAUUCUGGCUUGGAGAGAUGCCCAAACUGCCCAUGCCUCCAACAUGACUCGCUUCCUCAAGACAAUUCUAGGGCCACUCCUCUUCAGGUAUGGAAAGAGUUUUUUACUGGAAUCCAAAUAUCAACCUUGAAUUUCAAGAGUUAAAGAAGACACCUUGCUAGGUGACUUAUGGGCCAAUCAUUUCAGGUGAGGAUAAGGAAGAGAACUUGGG
RNAcentral lists this long non-coding RNA (277 nucleotides) under Sarcophilus harrisii (Tasmanian devil). RNAcentral describes it as "lncRNA (ENSSHAG00000021259.1)". The record is from RNAcentral. Lineage: Eukaryota; Metazoa; Chordata; Mammalia; Dasyuromorphia; Dasyuridae.